UGAGAAUUAUAAAUUCAAAUUAGCCUGCUAUUUUAUUCAGGAAAUUUUGCGUACAAAACUUGACAAGAGCGACUAUUCAAACAUGCAUAGAGUGACUUGCCUAUGCCAAAUUCAUUCCAUUUUGUACUGCAAUAUCUUGAGUUCAAAUCCCAGCAUUCCCCUACCAUUCUGAUGUGUGGAAAUGUAAAUAAGGUUUGAAACAUGCAUAGAGUGACUUGCCUAUGCCAAAUUCAUUCCAUUUUGUACUGCAAUAUCUUGAGUUCAAAUCCCAGCAUUCCCCUACCAUUCUGAUGUGUGGAAAUGUAAAUAAGGUUUG
This 316-nucleotide unclassified non-coding RNA is filed under the name Hevea brasiliensis (rubber tree). Lineage: Eukaryota; Viridiplantae; Streptophyta; Magnoliopsida; Malpighiales; Euphorbiaceae. The record is from RNAcentral.